ACUCCGAGCCCCGGGAGGAGACAACGCCCGGAGAGGGCGGAGGGGGCGGGGGGAGGCAGCUUGGCUGCGGGGGAACCCCUCGCCCCUGAGGGAUGCUCGGCCGGCGAGUGCCGCAGGGCAGGACCGGGGCUCUCGAAUAAACUGCGGAAGGCUGAAAGAAAAAGCUUACGAGAGGUUAUACAAACCGAGAGGGAGAGACGGCUGCCUUCACACGUAAUUCCCAGAGCAGGGAAGAGAGUGGGUGUCUGCCAAGAGGGGAAUCACCUCGGCGACAGGACAGGGGAGUCCUGUCACCUGCAGCGAGGGGGAACCCCUCAGGGAGGGUCAGAGCAGCCUUAAGGGCGGCGGGAAAGCCCCGAACGUGAGGAUUCUUUACAGCUUUCAGGACUGUCUCUGCAAAUAUAGUACUUAUUUUUGUGAGCAUGAAAAGUGCAUAUUCCAAAAGAUUUUUAUCUGCAUCACCAGAUGAAACUGAAUGUUACCUUUAUGCAAAGAGAAAUAAAGUAGAAAGUGAUCCAAAAAUCAGAGAGAAAGUGGAGCAGCAAAAGCUAGAACAAAGCAUACACUCUGGGAGCAAGGACCAAACAUCACCACGUGAACUCCUCUGUUUGUCAGAAAGACAAAACAACUGGGCAUUAGAAGAACAGAGUUGUGAUACAGCAAGAAAAACUUGUAUGAUGGAGUUUUUCUGUUCUGAAACUUGUAGUAAUGAAGGAUUAGCAUGUAGAGUAUCAGAAAAUGAAGCAUUCACCAAAAAACGGAGUCCUGCAAAUGAAGACCAAAGUCCUACAGAAGACGACAUGUCCCCGAAUGUAGGUGGACAGCCCCUGGCAACAGAGCUGCUCAAUGUGUCGAGCACUGCUGACACAUGUCAAAAUCUACUGGUACAAAACCCAUCCCAAGUGCAGCAGAACAACAGUAUAGAACAAAAUAAUAAAAGAAACGAGGAUAAUGAGCUCAAACAAAAUUCUUCAGUUACAUCAUUAAACAGACACAUGUUGCAGGCGGAAUUGUUAAGUCAAAAGUCUGCCUCCAAUAAAAAGUGGCAGCGCUACCAGCUUUUUCAAAUUCCAUUUUUGAGUGGAACAAGUUCUGUGUUUUCAUGCGUAGAAAAUAAAAAAAGUAAAUUUCUGAAAAAUAUAUGUUUUGCAGAAGAUGAAAAUUAUCUUAGCACUAAGGAAACUACUGCAGAAAAAGACAAUAAAGAGAAAAAUAAUUCAAUGUCUAUAAUUCAAACAUUAAAACCUCUUAAGAGUAUACAACCAUUGGAAAUCCCUAAUUUUCAAUUUCCUAGGAUUUCAAAUAAAAUAAAUAUUAAACAAUCAUCAGCUAACUUUAGGGAAACAGACUGGAAGAAUUUUGAAGGUGAACCGUCUUUAAUGCAAUCUAAACAGAUACAUGGUGUGCAAAAAAUAUCUGAGAUAGGGAAACAAAGAAUGCAAAAUGAUAAAAGCAGUGUAAGAGCUCCAAUUGUUGGUUCUGAAUUUAAAGGAAAAAAUUCCCCCUCAGUUAACAAACAGGAACACAGCACUUUGGCAGAAGGAGAAGUAUCUGGAACUUAUUUCAGAUGCAACAGCACUGACACUGAAUGUAAUAAUAUAUUUGCUGAAAAUGACUUCAAAGAUAAAAUAAUGGAGAAUUCAGAGAGUGAUGAUGACCAGAAGUCAAAGAUUCGCAUUUACAUUAGUGCUAAAAAUGUUCAGAAUGAGAAAUAUGUCAACUCUAAUGAUCUUUUGCAAAGAAGGGGGAGGAAGAGCACUAAUGAGAGUAUGGGAAUGUUUCAUAUGCAGAUGAGUAUUCCAGUAACAACAGAAGCAUUAGAGAAAAAUAAGUUAAACGUACACUGUGGUGUGCAUAAUUCCAACAGGGAUAUUUGUUUGUAUGAAGCAGAAUCAAAACUCUCCACAAAGAAAAUACUUGAUUUCCAAAGUUAUGUAACAAAAAAUAUUACAUUUAAAAGUAAUUGUCCUUGCUUUAUUGUGCAGGAUUUUCCACAUAAGAGAGCAAGUUGCAACCUAUUUAUGGGGAAGGAAAUGCUCAAAUUAAAGUUUUCAUUUCAAAGCAUGUUGUGUGGAUGGGUCAGGGUGUGGACUGAGUCUUUCCAUGAAGACAUGCCCACGUGUCAGGAUGACAGUGUUACACCUUGGUCUCAUUGCCGUGGCACAUUAAAAGAGCAGUGUGAUGCUCAAGAGUUGGUAAAGAGCACUAUAAAUAGGAACCACAAUGAUAAAAUAUUCAUGUGUUUGCUGGCUGUUGUUUCAAAGCAUCUGAAGGUGGAGGUACUAAAGAAAAUGCUUGCUUCCUUUUUCAGUAGCACAAAUACUUUAUUGACAACUGAGGGGAAGUCUGUGCAAGAAGAGAAACAGUCUUUGUGUGGCAGAAAGCAAAAUCAGUUAAACUCAUGCACAGAUGAUUCUUUGAGGCAAAGCACAGGAUUUCUUAAAGAAAAUGAAACUUACCCAGGAUUUGUAAGUUCUAAAUUUCUGGAAAGCAUUGAUUUUCAGUUGCAUAAUGCAUAUCAGAGAAGAUGCUUUUAUAGAACUUUAGGUGAAGAAGAGUACACUUUCCUUCAAAGAAGAGCUCCCUUUCGUAACCAAAAAAGCAGAUUAUGUAAGGGAAGACAUGUCAGGAAACACCACCUCUUAUCCAGAGUGAGUGAAGGGUUUAGCACUGAUUUGAGGUCAGUCAGUCACAAAAACAGUAUGAAAAAGCAAAUUUUACCUGCUAAAUACGUUAUCUUGCUGCAAGGCUCUUCUGAUAGUUCUUCACUACACAAGAUCUAUUGCUGCAAUAUCACAAAAGUACAGUAUCUGAUAGGAGCCAAUCUUGGAUACCAGAGUUACUUUCCUGCUGCUUCACAAACAAAAUUUGAAAAGGUACAUAAGAAAAGUACAAAUCAGGAAAUAUCAGUAAGUACUCUGAAGCAGGAGAAGAACAAACCAAGCAUAAGGCUUAACAGUUCUUUUCAUGUAGAAUUAUUUAAAGCUAUCCCUUUUGUUUUAUAUGAAAAUAAGAAACACAAAACAACUGGAUAUAGAAAUGGCAUAACUUUUACAAAUGAAUUCACUAAUGAAAUAACAUCUAUUAUGAAAAAAUAUUUGGGUAACUCUAGUUAUAGAAAUGCUGAUGAAAAAGAUUGUGUUAAUCCAAAAGAGUUGCAAAUGAAUUGUGAUGAUUGUCUUUAUAAAAAAUCUCUUUCUAUUUUUGACACAUAUGAAAAAAUUCCCCUAGCCACUGAUUCUGAAGACUUUGACCAGAUCCCACUUGUAAAGCAAGACAAUUCUAUCCAAAAAAAGUUGUGUGAAGAAAGUGCAGUCACUGGUUCAAAAGAAAUUCAAUGUUUGCCUGUUAAAUCAAAUGAUGUUUUAAUUCUAUCUGAACAGCCAAAAGAAACCACAGAAGAAUAUAAUUCUCUCCUGUUGCUAGAAAGACAAAUAAACAAACAUGAGAAUUGCAAAGACUUAGAGAGUUGUAGCCCAAAUCUAGCAAAUAAAAAAGUAGACAACAAAAAUACUUAUUUAUUUCCUGAAAAUUUAUUUCCUAGUUCCUCAAAUAUUUAUCAGCCUGUCACUUUGCCACAGGAUAGCAGCUCUUUUGUCAACAGAGAAAUAAGUGAAGGUGGGCACUGCAGGAAUUCCUCAAGUGCAGACGAACAAAAGGCAAGUGAAACAAUUCCUGCCAUGGUACAGUAUCUAUCCCCGGGCAGUCCUGCCAGGACAGAUACAUACUUGCAAUCACAGGCUAAAGAAACUGCACAGUUUUCUUUACAAGGCCAGGAACACACGAUUAAGACAGGCAGUUCAGAGCCAGCAACUUUGAAACAACAUCUUGAAUAUGUAAAAGAACAGGAAGAGAGAAAUUAUGAACAAAUGCAUAUAACUGAUGAAAGUCAAUGUGAGACUGUAAUGAAUUACUUGAUUAUGUCAUAUUCAGAGGAUAAACCUAAAACAUUCAUUGCUGCAGAAGAGGAAUUAAAAAUGCCUUUAUCCAUAAUGAACAAUGGACAUCUUGAAGAUGUAAAAGAUAAGUAUUUACCCUUAGAAAAUAAAUUCACAUAUGAAUUUGAACUGAAGAGAAAAUUUGAUUUAGUGCUAGAAGAGCUACGUAUGUUUCAUGAAAUUAGCAAAGAAAAUGUAAACAAUUUAUCUAGUUUGGAAACAAACUUGCCUAACACUUACAGCCAAUUAAAUAAUGCUGAGGGAAUAGAUGAAAACACAGCAAGGGAUUCUCAAAGGAAAAUACGUAUUUCUUCUCCAAUCUGUGGUACCACAAAAGACAGACACAUAACUGAUACUAAUGAAAGUUCAUUUCAUGAAAAGAUAUUAGUUGAAAAUGAAGACCAGAAAGUAUCUGAGGAAUAUUCUACUUCAAAAAUGUCAAGCAAAGAAUUGCUGCACUCUCCUGCAGAAGGUGCAGCCUAUAGAAAUCCAUACACGUGGGAUCCAGCUUUUUUACCCGGCACACUUUUUAAGGAACAAAGCCAUAAUUUACAGAAAGAAGGAGUGAGUAUUAUUUCAUACAAAACAGAACAACUUCUAAAGGAUGACUGAUUCUACACUGAUCAGUGCUAGAGAUCACUACAUGGUGCAUACCUUACCUAAUAGAUUGUGGAACAGAAAACAGACAUCCUCCUACCCUGCUUGAUGUAAAAUGAGUGGCACAGGGCAAGACAUCAGACUAAUUGAUACUUUUUGUCUCGUGACGUCAUAAGAGUACAACCUCUUAAAACAUGCAAGGGCCCCAUCAGGAUUGGGCUGUCAAGAAAGGCUCGGCCAAAGAAGCUUCAUCCUUAUCUGAAAUGACUUCCUGGGUUCUUUUACCAGCCUUCACAUCUGGGAUCACUCUGCUUGAAAACUGUUGAAAUGUUUUAAUGUUAAUUUUUUUAGAUACUUUGAUCUUUGUGGUUUAAGGGAGUUCUAGAUAUUAAUAUUUCAGUAUUUGCUAGUGAUUUAUUUAGGAAUACUCCUGUGAAUACUAGAUAGCAAAGGGAUUUAUAAUGAAUGUUUACUAGUAGAAGUUUUAAUGGAAGGGUGAAUUCCUUUUAAAGUUUAUGUAAUAUUAAUAAAAUCUGUCAUGUAUUUUUCAUCUAUUAAAAUAUACAGUUGAAAUUUUCUGUCACA
This is an RNA transcript of Passer domesticus (house sparrow), 5120 nucleotides long. It is a transcript of the gene named RAD51 associated protein 2, with no coding region annotated. The record is from RefSeq and is a predicted model, not a curated record. The transcript is spliced from 5 exons. Lineage: Eukaryota; Metazoa; Chordata; Aves; Passeriformes; Passeridae.